Molecule: non-coding RNA, 26 nt
Filed under: Mus musculus (house mouse)
Lineage: Eukaryota; Metazoa; Chordata; Mammalia; Rodentia; Muridae
Source: RNAcentral
UGCUUUGCUCUGUACCUGGCUGCCAC